UGCAGUCGAGCGACAGAUAAGGAGCUUGCUCCUUUGACGUUAGCGGCGGACGGGCGAGUAACACGUGGGUAACCUACCUAUAAGACUGGGAUAACUUCGGGAAACCGAAGCUAAUACCGGAUAACAUUUGGAACCGCAUGGUUCUAAAGUGAAAGAUGGUUUUGCUAUCACUUAUAGAUGGACCCGCGCCGUAUUAGCUAGUUGGUAAGGUAACGGCUUACCAAGGCGACGAUACGUAGCCGACCUGAGAGGGUGAUCGGCCACACUGGAACUGAGACACGGUCCAGACUCCUACGGGAGGCAGCAGUAGGGAAUCUUCCGCAAUGGGCGAAAGCCUGACGGAGCAACGCCGCGUGAGUGAUGAAGGGUUUCGGCUCGUAAAACUCUGUUAUUAGGGAAGAACAAACGUGUAAGUAACUGUGCACGUCUUGACGGUACCUAAUCAGAAAGCCACGGCUAACUACGUGCCAGCAGCCGCGGUAAUACGUAGGUGGCAAGCGUUAUCCGGAAUUAUUGGGCGUAAAGCGCGCGUAGGCGGUUUCUUAAGUCUGAUGUGAAAGCCCACGGCUCAACCGUGGAGGGUCAUUGGAAACUGGGAAACUUGAGUGCAGAAGAGGAAAGUGGAAUUCCAUGUGUAGCGGUGAAAUGCGCAGAGAUAUGGAGGAACACCAGUGGCGAAGGCGACUUUCUGGUCUGUAACUGACGCUGAUGUGCGAAAGCGUGGGGAUCAAACAGGAUUAGAUACCCUGGUAGUCCACGCCGUAAACGAUGAGUGCUAAGUGUUAGGGGGUUUCCGCCCCUUAGUGCUGCAGCUAACGCAUUAAGCACUCCGCCUGGGGAGUACGACCGCAAGGUUGAAACUCAAAGGAAUUGACGGGGACCCGCACAAGCGGUGGAGCAUGUGGUUUAAUUCGAAGCAACGCGAAGAACCUUACCAAAUCUUGACAUCCUUUGAAAACUCUAGAGAUAGAGCCUUCCCCUUCGGGGGACAAAGUGACAGGUGGUGCAUGGUUGUCGUCAGCUCGUGUCGUGAGAUGUUGGGUUAAGUCCCGCAACGAGCGCAACCCUUAAGCUUAGUUGCCAUCAUUAAGUUGGGCACUCUAGGUUGACUGCCGGUGACAAACCGGAGGAAGGUGGGGAUGACGUCAAAUCAUCAUGCCCCUUAUGAUUUGGGCUACACACGUGCUACAAUGGACAAUACAAAGGGCAGCUAAACCGCGAGGUCAUGCAAAUCCCAUAAAGUUGUUCUCAGUUCGGAUUGUAGUCUGCAACUCGACUACAUGAAGCUGGAAUCGCUAGUAAUCGUAGAUCAGCAUGCUACGGUGAAUACGUUCCCGGGUCUUGUACACACCGCCCGUCACACCACGAGAGUUUGUAACACCCGAAGCCGGUGGAGUAACCAUUU
This 1405-nucleotide ribosomal RNA is filed under the name Staphylococcus sp. RNAcentral's name for it is "bacterial SSU rRNA". It matches the Rfam family "Bacterial small subunit ribosomal RNA". Lineage: Bacteria; Bacillati; Bacillota; Bacilli; Caryophanales; Staphylococcaceae. The record is from RNAcentral.